RNAcentral lists this transfer RNA (70 nucleotides) under Dipodomys ordii (Ord's kangaroo rat). It matches the Rfam family "tRNA". Rfam says of the family: Transfer RNA (tRNA) molecules are approximately 80 nucleotides in length. Their secondary structure includes four short double-helical elements and three loops (D, anti-codon, and T loops). Further hydrogen bonds mediate the characteristic L-shaped molecular structure. tRNAs have two regions of fundamental functional importance: the anti-codon, which is responsible for specific mRNA codon recognition, and the 3' end, to which the tRNAs corresponding amino acid is attached (by aminoacyl-tRNA synthetases). tRNAs cope with the degeneracy of the genetic code in two manners: having more than one tRNA (with a specific anti-codon) for a particular amino acid; and 'wobble' base-pairing, i.e. permitting non-standard base-pairing at the 3rd anti-codon position. The record is from Rfam by way of RNAcentral. Lineage: Eukaryota; Metazoa; Chordata; Mammalia; Rodentia; Heteromyidae.
GGGCAUGUGGCUUAGUGGUAGAGUGCUUGCCUAGCAUGCAUGAAGCCCUGGGUUUGAUUCCUCAGCACCA